CCUACGGGGGGCUGCAGUAGGGAAUCUUCCGCAAUGGACGAAAGUCUGACGGAGCAACGCCGCGUGAGUGAUGAAGGUCUUCGGAUCGUAAAACUCUGUUGUUAGGGAAGAACAAGUAUCGUUCGAAUAGGGCGGUACCUUGACGGUACCUAACCAGAAAGCCACGGCUAACUACGUGCCAGCAGCCGCGGUAAUACGUAGGUGGCAAGCGUUAUCCGGAAUUAUUGGGCGUAAAGCGCGCGCAGGCGGUUUCUUAAGUCUGAUGUGAAAGCCCACGGCUCAACCGUGGAGGGUCAUUGGAAACUGGGAAGCUUGAGUGCAGAAGAGGAGAGUGGAAUUCCAUGUGUAGCGGUGAAAUGCGUAGAGAUAUGGAGGAACACCAGUGGCGAAGGCGACUCUCUGGUCUGCAACUGACGCUGAGGCGCGAAAGCGUGGGGAGCGAACAGGCUUAGAUACCCCGGUAGUC
This 466-nucleotide ribosomal RNA is filed under the name uncultured Exiguobacterium sp. RNAcentral's name for it is "bacterial SSU rRNA". It matches the Rfam family "Bacterial small subunit ribosomal RNA", at positions 338 to 795 of the family's 1533-position model. The record is from RNAcentral. Lineage: Bacteria; Bacillati; Bacillota; Bacilli; Caryophanales.